This is a long non-coding RNA of Cucumis sativus (cucumber), 716 nucleotides long. RefSeq lists it as uncharacterized. NCBI's taxonomy places the organism in Eukaryota, Viridiplantae, Streptophyta, Magnoliopsida, Cucurbitales, Cucurbitaceae. The transcript is spliced from 2 exons. The record is from RefSeq and is a predicted model, not a curated record.
CAUAUAACGCUCUAAUCCUCUCUACAACAUCCCCACCAUAUUAAGUAGCUUUAUACAGUCUCAAAAGAAGUUUGUGUAGAAGAAGAGAAAUUGAUCGAUGGAGGCAAACAAAAGAAAACUUAGAGGCUUCAUGAGAGGGAAAUUGAUGCCUUUCUACAAGCAAUAUAAUGGAAGCAAAACAAAGCAAACUGGAUGACCCCGGUCGGGACACGACGGCCACUCGUGACUCAUUAAGUCAGUUUGAUCGUUCAUAUGGAAUCAUAGCUGACGAAGGUGUCGAUGUAAAGGCAGCAAAUUAUAUUUCCUCCACGUUAGCAAGAUUCAAAAGCUUGAAUGAGUUACCUCAUCCAAUAGAAUUGUCGUCGAUUCCAUUGCCCCACCAAUAGAUUUGAUGACCUUGUCGAGCACUUCUCUAUUAUUUAUCUUGGACUUUACUAGUUGAUUAUUAUUCUAAGUAAAGAACCGAUGCUCAUGUGGUUGGAUAUAGUGUUUCUCUCACGUAUAUAGAAGGUUUGAAUCCCCACCUUUUAUAUAUUUAUAAUGAAAAAAAACUUGAAUGCAUCUUCUCAUAUAUUUCUUAUCUCUCCAUAUACAAAAAUAAACGUACCAAAUAUUUAUAAAAAAAGUUGUCUUUGUGGUGGAGAGAUGGAAAGCAUUUGAGGAUGCAACUAACCCUUUUAUAAUUAUAAUUUUAUCACAAAACUAUUUUAUGAUUG